AUACGUAGGGUGCGAGCGUUGUCCGGAAUUACUGGGCGUAAAGAGCUCGUAGGUGGUUUGUCGCGUCGUCUGUGAAAUUCCGGGGCUUAACUCCGGGCGUGCAGGCGAUACGGGCAUAACUUGAGUACUGUAGGGGAGACUGGAAUUCCUGGUGUAGCGGUGAAAUGCGCAGAUAUCAGGAGGAACACCGGUGGCGAAGGCGGGUUUCUGGGCAGUAACUGACGCUGAGGAUGGAAAGCAUGGGUAGCGAACAGGAUUAGAUACCUUGGUAGUCCAUGCCGUAAACGGUGGGCGCUAGGUGUAGGGGUCUUCCACGACUUCUGUGCCGUAGCUAACGCAUUAAGCGCCCCGCCUGGGGAGUACGGUCGCAAGGCUAAAACUCAAAGGAAUUGACGGGG
Molecule: ribosomal RNA, 398 nt
Filed under: uncultured bacterium
Lineage: Bacteria
Description: partial 16S ribosomal RNA
Rfam family: Bacterial small subunit ribosomal RNA
Source: RNAcentral